RNAcentral lists this ribosomal RNA (462 nucleotides) under uncultured soil bacterium. RNAcentral's name for it is "bacterial SSU rRNA". It matches the Rfam family "Bacterial small subunit ribosomal RNA", at positions 26 to 492 of the family's 1533-position model. The record is from RNAcentral.
AGAGUGAACGCUGGCGGCAGGCCUAACACAUGCAAGUCGAACGGCAGCACAGAGGAGCUUGCUCCUUGGGUGGCGAGUGGCGGACGGGUGAGGAAUACGUCGGAAUCUGCCUAUUUGUGGGGGAUAACGUAGGGAAACUUACGCUAAUACCGCAUACGACCUACGGGUGAAAGCGGAGGACCUUCGGGCUUCGCGCAGAUAGAUGAGCCGACGUCGGAUUAACUAGUUGGCGGGGUAAAGCCCACCAAGGCGACGAUCCGUAGCUGGUCUGAGAGGAUGAUCAGCCACACUGGAACUGAGACACGGUCCAGACCUCCGUACGGGAGGCAGCAGGUGGGGAAUAGUUGGACAAGUGGGCGACAAGCCUGAUCCAGCCAUCGCCGCGUGUGUAGAAGAGGCCGUUGGUUAUAAGCUACGUUUGGAACGGUAAGAAAGUCGUUUACGGUAACGUACCGGUAAGUU